Scylla paramamosain (green mud crab) is the source of this 707-nucleotide long non-coding RNA. RefSeq lists it as uncharacterized. The transcript is spliced from 3 exons. Lineage: Eukaryota; Metazoa; Arthropoda; Malacostraca; Decapoda; Portunidae. The record is from RefSeq and is a predicted model, not a curated record.
CCCCCCACGCCGCGCCGCCCAUCUGUCACCCUUCGCGCGCCGCCCCACACACCCCGCCGCCCGCUCAGGUCAACGUGGUGGUGGCGCUUGUGUCUGCGUGUGCCCUCAAGCAUGAGCGACUUAGUUCUGCAAUUGCUCCCUGUCACACAUCACUGCUGCGCCAUCAGUCCAGCCACACUGACCACUAGUAUGCUUCAGUACAAGAGCGACGUGAAGGAGGGAGAUCGCCCGGAUGAGCACUGACGGGUCUGCCGCUGACAGCACCUAUCCAUACCACUCCGCUAUGUGGCCCUCCCUGCCUCCACCAUUAUAAACACCGCGCCCUGGCUACCUACAUCACCUUCAAUGAAUCUUGACAAUUCCCCAAUGUACGUGUGUUCUACCAUAUCCUACAACCCCAUUACCACCAAUAUUCCUAGACCUCCAUUAAACUCUGACCACCUCCAUCAUAUCAAAAUCUAUUAUCGAGCUUUAUCACUAUCACUGAACCCUUACCAUUGCCCUGUGUACGUAUGUUCUACCAUAUGCCACCACCCCCAUUAACACCAUUGCUUCUAGACUCCCACAACCCUAUCCACUUCCAUCACAUCACGAUCCUUUAUCAACCUACAUCACUAUCACUGUUCCUUCAUCGUUCCUACAUGUAUUCCAUCAUAUCCUACCCACCUCUAUCAUCUACACCAUCACCAGAUUAUCACAUUCCUUUA